CAGUAGCCACGGUAAUACGUAGGUCCCGAGCGUUGUCCGGAUUUAUUGGGCGUAAAGGGAGCGCAGGCGGUUUAGUAAGUCUGAAGUUAAAGGCAUUGGCUCAACCAAUGUAUGCUUUGGAAACUGUUAGACUUGAGUGCAGAAGGGGAGAAUGGAAUUCCAUGUGUAGCGGUGAAAUGCGUAGAUAUAUGGAGGAACACCGGUGGCGAAAGCGGCUCUCUGGUCUGUCACUGACGCUGAGGCUCGAAAGCGUGGGUAGCGAACAGGAUUAGAUACCCCAGUAGUCCCUGUCUCUUAUACA
This 301-nucleotide ribosomal RNA is filed under the name uncultured bacterium. Its description in RNAcentral is "partial 16S ribosomal RNA". It matches the Rfam family "Bacterial small subunit ribosomal RNA", at positions 509 to 808 of the family's 1533-position model. The record is from RNAcentral.